UGCCUUAUCUACUAACUCCACCCAUUCAAUUCUAAAAGUCUUCCCCUGCGGCCCUGCCUCUCCUCCCCCGAUUCGCAUGCACCCCCACCCCCACGCGCAUGUCCCCUUCCUCUCCCGAUGCCGCCGGCGCGCCUCCAGCCCCCGGCCUCCCCCGCCGCUGCCGCCGCCACCCACCCCCAUCGUUGGCCUCCUACGUCGUUGCCGGCGCUCCCCACCCCCACCCCCCCAUCCUCGGCCUCCGCGUCAGCCCGCGGCCGCCCUCCUCGGCCACGCGCAGUGCGAGGUGGGAAUCGGCGUAGCACGGCGGGCCACCGCCGGCGCUGUGUCGCCUGGCGUGGAUUUGCAGGGAGGAAGAUCUCGUCCUGCUUUCCGCGCACAUACCCCUCCCAUCGAUCCCAGAAGAACCUCUUGUUGAUCCUCUUGCUGAUCGUCGAGAAGGAGAAGAUUGGGAGGCGGCGUGGAUGAUGUUCUGCAAUGGGAGGAAGACCAGGUACGCGAUGCGACGGGAGGCGACGGUGACGACCUGGCAUUGACGGAGACGCUGCGGGUUGUGUUCAUGUGCUCCCAGGGCAGUGGCCGGGGCCAGGGAUGACGAGGAGGCCUACAUGCGCAGGUUUCAAGUACAAAGCUGGAACAAUAGUUGAGCUAUGCAGAGUUUUCAAUUUUCUCAUGGAUGUAGGAGGCUCAUGGAAUUUAUUUCCGCAUAAUCAUGACUUUGGUCUACAUCAAGUAGUUAAUUACAUGCUCUUUUAGUUCUGGUACCCUGUAGUUAAUUAGCUUGAGCAAUUUGUGCUUUUAUGCUGAUGUGUACAUGUGAAAUAAAAAUCCAGCUACUUCCUCCGUCUAACAAAAAAUGUCUCAAAUUUAUCAAAAUUUAGAUGUAACUUAGUGUAUAUAUGCAAUAAAGUUUUGUCAAAGUUAAGACAUUUUUUGUUGAACUGAGGAAGUAUUAUAACCUCUGGACGUAUAUGUUCUUAUCUUUUGGACCGAUGAAGUAAUUUUUGCUGCUGAGAAA
Long non-coding RNA from Brachypodium distachyon (stiff brome), 1015 nucleotides. RefSeq lists it as uncharacterized. The record is from RefSeq and is a predicted model, not a curated record. The transcript is spliced from 2 exons. Lineage: Eukaryota; Viridiplantae; Streptophyta; Magnoliopsida; Poales; Poaceae.